Molecule: long non-coding RNA, 4857 nt
Filed under: Daphnia magna
Lineage: Eukaryota; Metazoa; Arthropoda; Branchiopoda; Diplostraca; Daphniidae
Description: uncharacterized LOC116928502, transcript variant X1
Source: RNAcentral
CUUAAGUUAGAGUAGUCCAUGGUAGGCCUUGCUAUUGCACAGUUUGUGUUUGUUUUGGUCAUUGCUUACGUUUACGUUCCCUAUUUACGUUCCUUAUGCCUGAAUCAUCCGGGGCGUUUUUAGAAUUCCAGGAAAAGUGAUAAUAGUUUAAAUGAAAACAGAUUUUCAUUAUGCGAGAUGGCAAGUAUUUCGAAUAUAUACUUUUAAAUGGCGUUUUAAUGCUUUUGAAUAUCAAAUCAAAUUUUUGUUUUGCCAUAAAACUUGCCAGAGCUUCAUAUGGGCCAACGGGCGCCUGUAGGAUUGAUUAGACACAGCGUUGCUAAACCCAUAGGGGAUUACAUGCACUGCUAAUUAGUACUACCAAAGGCAUGUAAAGAUUUAUUUCAUGAUUUUUAUGUAAAAGCUGUUCAGUUUUCAUACACUGAUUUGCAGACUUGUUUGUGUCUGUGCUCACAUAUGUGCAAAGUGGAGACUCUUCAUUAUUCUAUUAAAAUGAAUGUUAAAUUGAUUUGUGUUUUUGUCGAACAUAGACUUGGAAAGAAAGUGUACACAAAUCCAGUUUUCAAAAUAUUUGUAUUCCUCACAAGGCAAAACUUUCAGCUCAUCUACUUUUUGAUUAGUUUAAAAUUGGUAUUUCUAAAUCAUGUUCCUGUAUAGUUCAUUUUAUAAAUCUAGAAGUUAUAGUGGUUGUAAUUACAUGGGCUACAGCCCACAACACUACUUCCAUUUCAGCCGUGCAACAUGCAGGACAGGAUACAUUCUAAAAGUGAACUUUCAUGUGGUGGAUGGUCUUCAUUUUUUAUGGUUGGUACUCUCCAUGCACACAUAACAAAUCCAUCAAAUAUACCAUUGAAGAUGCAAAUUUAGAGAAUGAAACGUUAUUCGUUAACUACAAAUACCUAAAUUAUGGUUGGCCGUCAGAAUGCUAUACAUGCGAACUACUCUGUGGGAAGCAUGUGUCCGAUCCAUAUUUCCUUAAAACUCCUUUAUCUGGAUGUGCUGGUAUUUUCCAUUCAUUCGCAAUUACAGCUACCGCGUUUGCGAUGUUGAGAAGCUUCCGUAGUGAUGUAAAAAAUUUAAGUAAUAUUCCGCAUUGUAGCAAGUGAUGUUGUCUUUUACAACUAUUGAAGAGUUCACAAGCUGGUUUUGCCACACCUAUUCCUAGGUGUCAGCUUGAAUAGAAGUCUGGUCAACCAGAUUGAGUCAACACUUUAGUUAGGUCUAAAAAAAGCAUAGAUGCCUGGCUAUAUUUGAAUCUUUCUGUUUAGUUCUCAGGCAUAAAAUCUGGAGCCACAACUUUUCGAGGGAAAGCUGGUCUUAAAACUUAAAAGGCCUCUAGUCAUUAAUUAAUCACGUGGCCUUUCGACUUCACGGGAAAUGUUGGAAUAAUUUAUCAACAAGGAGUGUUAGGUAUAUACUCAACAUUUGAGCCUGACUGAAAGUUUCGUCAGUGCGUGGCUCUGUAUUACAUUCUGUUCUCCGCAUAAUAGCCACUGUAAAAGCUUUAGCACCAUUUCGUUGUUUCGAGCUCGUCAUAGAAAUAAUGGCGGAAAUAGCUGUUGGUAUAGUAUGAAGAAGAAGACCUGGAUUAUACGAUGACCGUAAAUACUGCGAUGUAGGUGGAAAUGCAUAGUUUCGCCUGCGAAUUUUGACGUUUUUACGACUGUUACCGUGCAGCAGCCGGCAGUAGCGAUACUUGCACGGUGAUUAUUUUCUGCAGCCAUUUUCGUCAUAUGAAGCUUUCGUCGGAGAGCCUUACAUAGUUUUAGAAACGGUUCUAAACUGGUCUUCUGGGCGGGGUUGCUUUGUUUUUCAAAGUUUUCUACAGUACCACCUUUUGUUAAUGAGCACGUUAAAAAGGUGAUGUGUAUCACUAAUUUUACUUGAAUCCGAAUCUCGCAGUUCUACUGAAAAUUAAAUUUGGGCGGCAAUCUUAGAAUUUAAAUUCUUGACGUCUGACUAUCAUUACGAAGCAUCUGGCCUGCAUUCUUAAAACCAAAGCAGUGGAUCUAUUUUCGUCGACAGAAAAGAAAUUCCCUAAUUAGUGCUGUUUUCUCAGUUUCUUUUUCCAUAGGUACUCCCUAAGCAAGUGAGUCACCUUAGCUUAAACCCCGCACCAGCUGAACAUUUUCCGAAAUGGUAUUGUCUAUAGAAGUCAUUGUUAAUUGCGUUUCUGUGUCGUGGAAUUUUAAUUCUCGGGAUCUUCUAUUGACAGUUUGAACCUUAAUCGCAUUUACUUAUUUUUUGUUUCUUAAUUAAUUUAUUGAGUUUCAUUUUGGUUUUGUUUUUGUUUCUUACAGUUGAUCUCAUUCUUCUUUUCAUACAAUGUACUAAAGGGAAUUUGUGAAGUCUGAAUUUUGUUAGGUGUUCCCGGAUAGUAUAUUCGACAGUUAAUUAGCCAUGUUUUGGCUGCUAUACUCCGGCUCAAGCACAAUCUUUGCGGUAAGCGUCAACAACUUUCGGAGAGAUUCUCUUCAAAUUUAAAUUCGAGCUUGGCCAAUCAAGUUCGCAAAUUCAUCCACUUAGGUCUUCAAACAUAUGCCAAGUAGUCCACAACGAAUAAUAGCCCGUGUAGAGCAUUCAUGAUAUCUAAACCCUCUUAGAAUCAGAUGUAUUGCCUGCAGGAGUUGUUUCUUAUGCUGCUAUUCCUCUAUUGACAUUGGAACAUUCCCGACAGGAAUUAAAAUGAACGUGAAUAUUCCAUCUCGGAUUUGUUGCACUCAUUUAGUAUUAGUACUGUGACGCGUUAUCGGCUGGAAAUGCGCUCCUGCGAGAUACCUUUUAAGGGCCACGAUCAAGAGCGAGGUUUGUCAACCAAAAUCACCUUACUCUUUAGAGAGCCACAAAUGCACACCUCAUUAGUAAAUAAAGAUUUGUUUUUUACGUUUGCCUUUAACACUAUCAAUUGAAGUGACAGCUUGCCUGAAAUUGUGCGGGAAAAAUAAAGCAGCCCUAUAAUCUUGGUGACCAGUUGAAAAGCUGUAACACUUAACUACGCUCUUGGCAUCUAGAGCUUUACAAGGAGUGCCUAUAGGAUAGGUAAGUUGAAAAAAUGGAUUUAAAGGGCCAUAAAAAUCACAGCUCAAUUUCAUUGGCUGGUGGGCUAGUUAAAGGAGAACGCCUUAGUCACCCAAGAGCAUGUUAACGCAUUGCUUGUAUUUAUUAGGACUUGUACUAUGACGUCAUUUAAGUACAAUAACAAUAACCCGAAACGAUAAAGGGAAGAAAAGCCAAUUAUGUGAUGACACGUUUUUUAUUUAAGACUUCAUUGUAUGGAGGGAAAAGAUUGCACACGAUGGUAUACUAAUGGCCUCGAAUAUUCCGUCAGUGAUAAGAGGCGAUUUGAACAUAUCCCUGUCUGAGGUUGGCGGUCAUCGUAAAUCCUUUCACCAGUUCCGAAAUCGUAACCAAUAGUUAUUGCAACUGAUGAGACGGGAACACAGGAACCGAAAAACCAAGCGAAGGGGAAAGAGUUGACUCUUAGCUUGACCCACUUCCAUUUGUUUUUCUUUCUUUGCGCCACCUUCAACAUGUAAACAAAAUAGAGGAAAAGCAAAGAAGAGAAGAGGACAGCACCGAAGUAAUGGCUUGAUAGGCGAGGAUGUGCCAAAACCAAAUAUGAGCCUAGCGGAAAGAAGCCAAAUGGUAGACAUAAGACAUACAUCGUUGUAUAAUGACAUCAUUGCAUUAUUUUAUUUCUUACGUCUGUUUGCAGCCAUGUAGGUAUUACUGUAAAUACAGUUUUCCUUUCCUUGAAGCUUCCCAAUUUUGCAUGUGGCCUCGGAAGCACCUCGGGGCAGUUCACUAACGUUUUUAAAGAGAAGCCCUAUGGCCUCAUUUUGCUAUUUCUAAAAAAGUCUAAAAUCAACCGAAUUCGCACGUGGUCCUCGUAACGUGGACGCAGAUCAUAUAAAUGCGGUACUUUUUGGGCAGAACGUACCAUUUGGUGCGACAUUGACCCACUUUGCAGUCGGUUUUGCAACUUGUCAGAACAUUCCUUCCUGGCUGUUUAUGUGGUGCCUGUGUUAUGUUCUGCAACAUAUUACCUCGAUGAGGUUGUCAAGAUCAAGUUUCUUUAUUUCUACAACAACAUUGAUUUUCCUUGAGCAUGAGUCUUCCUGGACUGCUAUAUGGUUGUAAAGCUACAUAAAUUAUUGGAUCUAACGGUAAGAUGUAUACUUUGGCUGCGUUAUCUUCCUCAGAAACGUGUUGAACACCUGGGUUUCCCGAAACGAUCCAAAAUCGGUUUGACCAACAAGUUUUUAUGGCCUUUUGAGAAAAGGACUGUCACUGAUCACCGCAACCCCUCGUUUUUUGUUAAAGCUCCAUACACCGCAUGGUGCAGCGAAUAUUUUACGCGAUUCAAAAGUUAUGAGUCUGCAUAAGCACAGUUGCGAAGUUCAAACAUCAAUUCGCGUACUGGAAACGCAAUGUUUGUGGAUACAGCGAAAGAGGAAGGCGCAUCCGUGGGUAUUUCGGCAUUGACCUACUAAUUGAAGCGCUCCUCCUUACAGUAAAUUUUCGCCACUAUCUUUUUUCCUUCUGGUGCGCAACAUUCUAUUUCUUUCUUGUUACAAUCCUCUGCGGUAUGACGAUUACAAAACAUUGGCUUGUGUUUGUUUACAUGUUCUUAAUAGCAUAAUUGAUUGGUCUUUCAUCCCAAGGCCGUAAUGUAAAACACAGCUAUAACAUCGGGUGCGCUUCUUUUUCCACAUAAGAUCAUGAACGAUUUUCAGAUUCAGCAAAGCUAAAUGAUGGCGUUUUUAAGGCUUCGUUAAACAAGUACAAGAAAGAGAUGGUUCAAAACUGAUACGAAUGGACAGGAUGAAAAUGAAAGCACGAUGGGUUAAGAUGGAU